GGGCAGAAUAAAAAAUUACUAAAAAAAAAUCUUCUCAAAAUUACGGAAAUCGAGCGGCGGCGGCGGCUCCCCCCGCCCGCCGGCCCGCCCGCCCCCUCCCCGGCUCCCCGGCCCCGGGCGCAGCGCGCAUGUGUCCUGCUAUAAUUAUGAUUAUCAAUAAUGCAUUGCGAUUAAUCAUAGAGGGGCUCUUUGAAAGGCGAUUGGCACCGGGCCAGCGCUAUUCAAACCCGCUCGCCUUAAUCAAUUAGUUUGUGAUUUGCUGCAGACCCCUGUCUCUCCGCGCGCUGGCCCAAUAAGCCGGCCGCGGGGCUGGCUCUGCGAGCCGCGCCGCCCGACACUGGGUUAACCCUCUUCGCGACCGCCCGGGACUCCGCGGCCGGGCCGCCGGGGGCCUGCCUUCUCGCCUCUGAGCACCCGGCGCCCCGGCCUGAGCCCCCCUCCCUCCCUCGGCCCCCCCAUCCCGGGCUGGGCCGACCCAAAUUAGCAUGCCCUCCCCGGAAUUAAGCCUCCCCGGGUGGGGGGUGGGGCCGGGCGGCGGGGGCUGGGGACCCGGGCUGCGGGCGCGCGGCGAACUUCCCAACUCCGGCGCUAGGAGCGCCGGCCCGCGGGGGGAGGGAGUCCCGUGGCGGGAUUUGGGGGGAGGAAGUCCCGUUUCGUGAGUGUUUCUUCGUUUCUUUAAGAGCUACCAGAAAGCAGCCCACCCCCACCCCCAUAAAAAAAAAAAUAAGCGAGUGGGGAAGAGCCAGCCCCACGCCGGUCCGCCUCCCGCCCGCGGCCCGGCCUCCCUCCCGCUCGCUGCUUGGCUCGGCGCUCCUUCGCCCCGAGUUCUCCAUCCCCUGGAUCCCGGGCUCGCGGGGGCGCGGAGAAGAGGACCAAGGAAAGGGUCUCCUCGCUCCUGGUUCCCGAAGUCCUGCGCCCGAGGGACACUCUAAACUUCGGUGGUGCUUCAAAUGCCAUUAUUUCUCACUGAAUAUUUAAAGAGAUCUCUCGGCAAAGAUGGAUCUGCGUGCUCCUGGGGUGCCAGCCUCUCGCUUCCCCCAGACCCCCAGGAAAGUGUGCGGGAGCACGUGUAAAACCCAUCCCCCGCUCCGCAAACUGUGAUCCUCGCAGGCAUCCCAACCCACACUCUUCCAGGUACACCAACGCCGCCGUAUGCAGUUGCACACGCGUUUCUCCGUUUCUGCCCCUGUUUGGAUUCGCCCGCAUCCGUCUCUAACAAUCUUGGCUUCUUGAAAGUCCGGGCCUCUGGGGCACCGCGUGCUGCCAGGAACCGAACGGAGCUAGCGAUCCCGCAAAUCCUUCUUCCUGGAUCGCGCCGUAAGCGCCGCGGCAAGCUCCCGGGAUUAGCGUCACACGUGUUCGUUACUUGCUCUAUGUGUGAUUAAGAUUAAGGGGCGGGGGAGCUUUCCCUCCCCCCACCCCCAACAAAACACCAAAACAAACAACCAAACGAAAUGCACACGCAAAGCAGCAGCUUCGCGAUGUUUAAUUAAAAAUGGGCGAGCA
RNAcentral lists this long non-coding RNA (1506 nucleotides) under Cervus hanglu yarkandensis (Yarkand deer). Its description in RNAcentral is "lncRNA (ENSCHYG00000005416.1)". The record is from RNAcentral. Lineage: Eukaryota; Metazoa; Chordata; Mammalia; Artiodactyla; Cervidae.